This 35547-nucleotide long non-coding RNA is filed under the name Lotus japonicus. Its description in RNAcentral is "long non-coding RNA (LJAP_LNC001575)". Lineage: Eukaryota; Viridiplantae; Streptophyta; Magnoliopsida; Fabales; Fabaceae. The record is from RNAcentral.
AAGGGUUGUGCUGCACUAUAGAAAAAUGCAAUGUGGUUGACAUUGAGUAAAAUCCAAUUUUUUCAUAGUGAAUUUUAAAAGAGUAAAUAAUAUAAGACGUUAUUUUGAAAUAUUUUAUUCUAGUGUAACCAAAAAAGUAUAUAUUUUAUUAUAGUGUGAAUACAAGAAAGAUUCCCAUUCCCGUGUCCAGGUCCUACGUUUAUUAAAGUGUUUGUUAGGUAAUCCAACUGUAAUUUUUCAAGGGAUACGUUGAAAGCUUUCUAUACGCUUUUCUCAUCGACCUGGUGAUUGAGAUACUUGAACUCUUACCAAGUUACUAUCUCAAUUUCGUAGUGACAUAAUCAACAACGUUUGGAACUUUUGCGCCAUGUUUCUCAUAUUAUUACAUCUCUAAACAUUCUUACACUUUAAUUUUUCCUAAUUCUUUCCCUUCAUUCACACUAUCACCAAACACAACCAUUAAAUUAUCAUCAUUACCCAAACACUAUUAUAUCCUACUCUAUUCGACAUUGCACCUUAAUUUCGAGAUCUCAUUAUCUCAAUGGAAGAAAUAUUUCCCAUUCCGUGAAGUUACAUUGUUAGAAAAAUUACGUAAAAAUAUGGCAUUUUCAUGUGAAAACAAACUACUAUUAUAAUUAAUUAAUUUCGCAUAUUAUGUGGUAUAUGUGUGAAAAAAAUCUAAACUAUUGUUAAAGGAAAUUAUAUCAUGAUCCAAACUCUCAAAUUAUUAAAUGGCUUUAGAAAGAUUGUGAUACUUCAAGUAUCUUUGACUAUUCCACACAACAAAUGUUUAAAAAUAUUCUUUAUCCUUAAAACUUUUAUUUUAAGUUGGUUGAAUCUGUCCUUUAUUUUUUAUUUUAUUUUUGUUUUAGUUUUUAUAUUGAAUGAAAUAGUAUUUUUUAAUCUCUCAACUAAGGCUUGAGAUUAAAUAAAAAAUAAUAAUUUGUGGAAAUGAAAACGGCAAAAAUAAUAAGAGGAACCAAUUGUAGAAAAAUAUUAUAUUCAUAGAGACUAUACAAAAAUUUAAGCCUUUGCAUCCAUCAAUGAAAUUUUAAUCGCCACUAAUAUUUGCAUAUGUUAAAAAUAACCACUAAUACAUAGUAUAUGAUAUAUGUGUUGGGUGUCACUAUUUUUGUUUUAUGUUUACAUAUCAUUAAAAAAAUAUUGACUUUGAUUUCAUUAAGAGUAAUGAUAAUUAAGUAGAAAUACAACUUCUAUCAUACAAUCAUUAAAUCAUUUUUUUUUAAAACCCUUUACAAAACUGAUGUUUAAUUAACAACUGUUUGUAAAUGGUAAAUUUCUAACUGUCAUCAUUAUUGUUUCAUCAAUUCAAACCAUUAUAGUAAACGUUCUCACUUCUCAUUGAAUCAAAUGUAGUGGACAAAUGAGGGAAAGUUCCAACACACAUAAAAUUGGUUUAGAUCUAGAGUUCAUUUAGACCUUCAAUGUUGAUCCUUGGCCAACAACAAACAGCUCAAAACCAAAACUGAAGUUAAUUAACUCCAUUCUUGUUUCGCUUGAGUCAACUUAACAAAUUGAGCAUAAGUGUUUUUUGAGCAAGUUGAGCAUAAGUGUUUUUUCAAAUGCACAAGUGGAGCACAAGUUAUUCCAAUUAGAACUCACUCAACUCAGCUAAUUAUUCAGUAAUAAUACUAACAAUAUUCCGCUGGUUAAAUUAUAGAUGGUCCCUUCCAAAAAAUCAAUAAAUAAUUUAACCAAAAAUCAAUAAAUAUGAAUACUAACAAUACUAACAAUAUUCCGCUGGUUAAACCCUAACCUAACAAAAUCAAUAAAUAUGAUGGUCCCUUCCAAAAAUAUGCAUCGAUACCAACUAUGGAAAUGGAAGAUCCACGCAAUGCAUGAGCAAAGCAGACAUGAGAAAUUAAAACUGAAAGGGACCGAUGGUACGGACUACGGAGAUUUUUUUUGGGACGAAGACACUUGUUUUCUUUUUCAUUUUUUCUAUUUUUCUUUUCUUUUCCUAUUACAUUACUAAUAAUAUCUCUUAUUUAAUUUUUCUUAUUUUUAAGUGUUAAAUAUAUUUUUAUUCUCUGACUUAUGAAUUUAAAUUUUCAAAAAAAAAACAUUUGAAUUUAAACUGGUCUUUGAUUUUUUUUAUAGAUUUAAAAAAAGCCUAUAUGUUUUAAUCAAGCUUAUGAAGUGAGUUAUUAAAAAAAAAAAAACUUAUGAAGUGAGAAUUCUAUUACCCACUCAUCAACCAACGAAAAAUUAUAGUUAGGUGUAGAUUGUACACGCAGACUUUUUCCAUUAAAUUUAGUCCUUCAAAUAUCUUUUUAAUUAUUUUUAGUUCUUCUCUUUAUCUUCCCUUCACUUUCUCAACUAUGGAUGGCACCCGUGCAGAGUGGGGCGGGGAGUUCCCUUCUCACUUAUCGUCUCCACAUCUCUCUUUAGUCCACGCACUAUCCUCAUCCUCUAUGGCGGAGUGAAUUUGUACCCCACUCUCAUUCUCCAUCUCUUAACGAUUCCCAUGACCCCCAACAUGUUAUUAGAAAUUUAAAUUAAAUAUAUUAAAUACAUAAGUUAAUUUAAUAAAAUUAAAAACCACAAGUGAUUAUGCAACUACACCAAAUACAAUUCAAAUUUGUGUAUAAAUAACAUUAAAUAAAAUUCAUCACACGAUAUGUGAAGUCUACAAAAUAAAUAAUUUGAAGUGUAAUACAAUGUUCAACUCAUUAAAAAUGUAAAAUCUAACACUUAAAAUAUUUUAUCGAGCAUUCAACUCAUCCAAAAUGUACAGUCUUCAUCCUAAGUAAUUUAAUAUUUGAAAGUGCGCGUGUUAUUGUAUUUUUACUAAUUAUAUGUAGCUGAAACCCUAUAAGGUAGGGGGAGCAAUCCUAUCCUCGUCCCCAAAUUCUUUUCAAGAAGAUUUUUCUUCCCGUCUCCAUUCCUGGAGGAAAUUUUUCUCAAGCUGCACUAACCCAAAAAUGAGGUAAAAAGAGAAAAGAAAUAAACAAAUAAUAUAAUGUAUAUAUAUAUAUAUAUAUUUGUAUAUGUGUGUGAUAUAAUAAUAAUGAUAUAUAUAUAUAUAAUAAGAAAAAAAUGUAAAAAUGAGAUAAAAAAAAGUUGGUGUGAAUGAUGAAUAUUACUCGAAUUUUUUAAGAAGAUGACUACAUAAGAUUAGGUAAUGGAGCGUCAGUGCCUAUAUCAACCACAAAUCACAUAUAGUUAAUUUGAGAAUGAUUUAUUAACAUAACAAAUCAAAUCCUCACCUACCACUACACGCACACCCUUUUCAUCAUCACCCUCUCUUCCUCACCAAACCCUCUUUCUCAACCCACCAUGCCGCCCAGAACAAAAAAAAAAUCAAACUAUAUUCCUAUGUUAUAUUGAUUCCAUUGAUGCAUUCAUACUCGUCACUCUCUAUACCAACAUUAUGAUAUGAUUACUACCAAACUAGAAAUUAUGAUAUGACUACCUCCUUUAGAAACCAUAACUGCCAACAAAGUCUCUACCAUUUAAUACUUUUAUCAAAAAUUUAAUAAUUUGCAUUAAAGUAUCUUUACAACUGAUAGUCAUGAGACUAAUUCUCUCACGAAAAGACAUUGAAAUCAGUCAAAUCACAUUUUAUGGAUAUGUCUAUUCCAAAUUCUUCAUACACAUAGAUAGACUUUGUAUCAAAAAAUUGAUCUUCCAUUCUUUUAGUAGUUAAGAUUAUUUGAUGAAUACUGAUUAUAUUAUACCACUAUAUAUACAUUCUAUUUCUUGAAGAACACAACACACCUUAAAAAAUUGAAAAAUAAAAUCCCCAUUAAUUUAUAUCUGAUUGACUUGAUAAUUGAAGUACUAUCAAAUUAAAGGAUGAUCAAGUUUUUUUUUGGACUACCAAAUUAAAUUAGUGUAACUUAUUUGGUUUAUACCUUUUGAAACCAAAAUGUUCAUUUAAUUAUUUAUAAUAUAUUUGUAGCACAAAUUGUUUAUAAUAUAUAACAUUGGAAAUUGAUACAAAAAGAUUAAUCUGCUUAAGAUAUACCUAUAAUAUUGAUCGUGGCUAAUAUAAUUGACUAUAUAUCCAUGAAACAUGAAGAAUAGUUGAAGUUCUAAAAUGUUUCCCAUUACUUCACGAAAAAAUCAUAACUAGUUUUGUUUUGAUACCAGCAGUUUCAGUACAAUUUAAAAUUUUAUCCAGAGUAAAAUAUGAUAAAUAAUAUCAUAACGUGUUUUCAAAUUUAAUGCAGAUGGAGGUCGAUGAGUUCAAAAUUGGAGGGGUUGUUAAAAUAGUUCCGAAGGCGUGGAGUGUGGAAAAUUCAAUUUGUUGGCGCAAAGGUCAGAAACCAACAAUUAUUUAGCAUACAUACUCCUUCUAGGAAUCAAGUUUUGAGGCUUCUAAGAAAAAGGAAUCAAGUUCAGUGCCAAGCUGAAGUUUAAAGUAGAUAUAUAGACUUUAUUUUUUUUGGUGAAUAGAUUUUUAGAGUUAAUAUUUACACCACAUAUUAAGGUAGUGAACAGUAGAACACCUCAUAACAAUAUUGGCAUGCAUGGCUCAUUUGUGCUUUGAUUUUGUUUUAAACACCUCAUAACAAUAACCACCAUGUUUCCUUUUUUUUUGGGUCAAAACCACCAUGUUUCCUUUGUGUCUAUCACUACUACCUAGUUUGUGCUAUAAAUGGAAAGCAAUGGUGAAGUUGUAUCUCGUUGAAAUUAUAUAAAAGGAUUAGUUUAUAGAGUGUAUUAAUCUUUGCCCUUCCAUAACAAUAACUUUGGGCAAAUGAGUGAGUAACAAAGGAAUCAACCGUAGGUCCGUAGCAACAUAAGAAAAAUAAAAGAGGCUAAAACAAAUUAAAUAUUAAUAUAACAGCCUAGUGGAGAAAACAAAGAGAGACGUGCUGGUACAUAUAUAUAUAUAUAAUGCACAUUUUCACCAAGACUGAGUAUACAAAUAACUUGAAUUUAAAAAAAUAUACAAAAACCUUAAUCACUCUACUCUAUUUUCUCUCCUCUACACAACGUGCAAACCUUCAAACAUAAAAUAUUCACACCAACAUAUACACAACACAAGGACAAUUUAAUUUGGUGGAACAUUAUAUUUAUGAAGGCACGUUUUGUUGAUAUAUAAAUUAUAGUAGUAUUAAUUUAUCAAGGCACCUAACUUUUACACCAUUUUUUUGACCGACAUCUACAUCACCAUCUCUAAUACAAUGUACAAGCACUCUCUUAAAUAACACAACAACCCCCUUUCACCAUAUCUCUUCCCCUUCCUAAUUACAAAUAUGAAGAGUUCUAAAAAACUUAACCAACAAAAAAACAAAGAGACUAAACCAAAAUAAGAGUAUAGUCCAAAAUGGAAUUGAAACAAUCUUCUUAAUUUGUUCACAAACUUAAAAUUCAGAACAAUGGGUAUAUUGACAUGGCACAUUUAUGCUUUAACUUAGAUUUAGAAGGGUGGUGUUGGGAAAUGCUAAUGAUCUCCCCGGUGAGAAGAACAAGAAGGGCUCCAAGGUGUCAUAUCCAUAGGGUAACUCCCCAACACUCUCAAGAAAGAAGUGAACUCUUGAACCUCAGCAAGUGCAUUUUGGGCCCUAACCUCAGCCAAAGAGGCAUCAAAAUCAAUAUAGAACAAGUACUCAAAGUGUUUCGCUGUACCCUCACUCUCACCAUCAACCACCCUAAUCGGACGGCUACGAUGAGGCCUUGACUCAAUCUUGGUCAAACUUAUGUUCCUAAACGCAAAAGCAGAUAACACUUUGAAUAGCACCGAAGUUCCCUUAUCAUGCGCGAACACGAUGCUCGUCUUGAACGGACGAUCCGUUCUCGGGAUAAUGGGUUCUCGGGCCAACAUCACGAACCGGGUCACGUUAUUCGGGUCAUCUUGGAUCCCAUCGGCGAGGACCUGGAGGCCGUAGAGUUCUGCGGCGCGUGCACUCGCGACUGCGGCAGUGUCACGGAGGUUGUUGGCGGCGAUAAACUCGGCUGCGCCGGCGGUGUCGUCGACGGCCUCACGCGCCACGUUGAGGCCGAGUUUUGUUAGCGUGUGCUCGCACUGCGCGAGUGCCUGAGGAUGCGAGAUCACGCGCGUGAGAUACUCCUUCCGGACUCCAGGGAGGGCGAGGAGGCAGUGGUGGACUGGAAGCUGGACCUCGCCGACGAUGUGGAGGCGGUGGCGGAGGAGGAGGUCGUAGUUCCGGUGGAUCGAUCCGCCGAGGGAAUUCUCCACUGGAAGAACUGCGCGAUCGGCGAUCCAGAGCUCCACCGAUUGGAACGCUACCUCGAACUGGUCGCACGGGAUCGCGUCGCUGUUUGGAUAGGCUUUUCCGGCGGCCGCCUCGGAGUACGCACCGGGGACUCCCUGGUACGCCACGCGCAGCUGGGACCCAUGCAGCGGCGCCGGAGAUAGGUCGGAGAUUGUCAGCGGCGACCGGAUGAGCUUCGUGUUGGCGCCGUCGGUUUUUUUACCGAUAGGGACGAGUUUCAGAUCCGCCAUGGCAGGGUUGUGACCGUUGACGGCGCCGACGUGGUCGUUGCCAGCGGCGGCCGGAGUUUCUUCCUGUGAAACGACCUUGCUGGCUAAGAUGGCGCACGAGCUUUGCCAAUCGGCUCGGCUCGAGCCGAUUCCUUGAGCGUAACUCGCGGGUUCAAACCCGUACCCGCAUUUAACCAUAAACCGGUUCGGAGUGACCCGAGUAAAAGAGGGACGCGCCCGGUUCAGGUAGUUAAGAGAAUUGGAGUGCGGUGGUGGAGUGAGUGUCUGCAUAUUAGAGGACUUAAAAUGAAUUAAGAAGAAAGAGUAGGGACUUAAAGUAGGAAAUGAAUAAUCUAAUUUGGUUUGAGAUGAUGAUUCAACUUUGAAGCUCAAGCUUGGUGUUCUCUUUGAAGAAGGGAACCUCAAGCUGAGAAAAGAAAGAAAGGGGUGAAAGGGGUUUAUAUAGUGGUUGGUGAAUGCAAGUGGGUUAUGGUUUUUGAGGAGUAAAUGGGACAUGUCAAGUCUGAGGGGAUGGUGUGUGCGUGAAGGUGGUUCGGUCAAUCCCACACCUACCACCUCUUCGCUAAAUUAUUUAUUUUAUUUUUUAUUUAUUUCACAUUUGUUCCUGGUGUUUAAUUGCUUUUUUAUGACUAAGAUUAAUUUAUUUGAAAGUUAUUUUAUAUUUUUUAAAUUGUUAAAGGUUAGCGUUCAAUGCAUACAUGUAGUCACAACAAAAUUUCUUAGAAAUAAGGUUGGUUGUCUUUAUUUGAUCGAUGGAGAAAAACGCUACAAAACUCCAAAUACAAAAAAAGCACCCUUUUCCAAUUGUGCUUGAGGAUCUUGAUUUCUUUGUCAGUGUAAAAUAUUCAAAAUCUCACAAAAAUGGAGGUUUUCAUUAAUAUACACCAUUUUUAGAGAGGUAUAAUUUGCACCACUGCAUAAAAUGGUUAAGCAGGUCAACAUAUAUUUUUUAUAUAUCAUUAAAAAUUUGUUAUAUGUUAAUUAAAAAAAAUGGAUGUGUUAACCUGUUAUGACAGGUUAAAGCAGGUGGUGUAAAAUUACACCACUGUGGUGCACAUUAGAGGUUAUAUAAAAUGUAAGUGUUUUAAAGAAUAUUAACUGCUUGUAUGCCAAAACUUAUACUUUAAUAUUUUAGGAAGUACUUCUAUAAUUUUUUUUUUUUUGAGAUUAAAGGAAGUACUUCUAUAAAAUCAAUUUACUAACUAUAUUGUGAUAACAUACAAUAUUGGCACAGACGCACAGUCAAUGCUAGCUGGAGGAAAUAUGUUUGGAAAUAGGUAAGUUUGUGCACAAUUAUUUCAUAUGAUUGUGUUCCUUGAAUUGAAAUAAUGAAUCUUUGUUUGCAUUGUGAUUGGGUAGUAAGGAAAUUUUAUGUGCAUAGGUGUUCUUCCAAAAUCUGAAUUGAUUAAUUCUCUCGAUUUUCAGUCAUGAUGGAUGGUUUUGAGAGAAUCUUUCACAACAGUAGUGUGAUUUUAGCAUUAUGGGAGAGUACCUGUAAAGACACUCUGAUACUCAAGUUAAAAUGAAAACAUAGAGAGUAACUCAAAGUUACAUCAGAACAAUGAGUUAGCAAAAUGAGCAAUGCUUAUAUAAAUGUACGAUAAAAUUUAUAGAUAUGGUAAGAGUCACAUUCAAGACGUUAGGCUUUAAUAAAGUCUAUGUGCAUAACUUUCGAGAUGAUGACUAUAGUGUUCUGGAAUGAACAAUGACAACGGUGAUAGGCCCCAAAACCCCAGAGGAAGUAGGGUAUGAUAAUAACAUAUUCAUUUAUGUAAUAAAGGCCAAAAAGUCUCUUCUCACGGUACAAGUGUUCCAUUUUGUAGGGGUACAUAAAACUAAGCUAAUUGGGCUGGCAGGGUCUCGCUAUUAUCGACACAGCAGCCUUACAUUCAUUUUCCUGCCUUAUGGCGGUCAUUCUCUACCCUUCAAGUGUUGAUAACUGCUCAUCGCUCUUAGUCGCCCUAAGCUUGUAGGUUUGCGCGCGAAACGUUCCACGUUUUAAAGGCAUUUGCGUGGUGCGACUUCAUGCUAAGGGAUGUGCGGAACUAGAUUAAGGCUCAAGUUUGUCGUCCUCAAGUGUAUCUUUUCGUGGCAGCUCUAUGGGGAAUUUGGAGAUGGAGAAAUGAUAUUGUGUUGGGUGAUAACAGUUGGACAACUAUGAGCAUUGUGAACUGGACUCGCACAAAGAAGAAUGACUACUAACUUUACCAAGCUAGUAGGCGUCUCCGAGGGAUUGGUGAAAAGCGUGCUAGGUGGACAGCUCCGUCAGUUGGGAACCUCAAGCUUAAUGCCGAUGGUUCUUAUGACCUGCAGCAGAUGAGGAUUAGAAUGGGAGGGAUUGUUAGAAACAAUUUUGGAGACUUUAUGACUGGCUUUUAUGCUGGAAGUGAUGGAGGGAUCCUUUUAAGGCAGAACUUAGUGCCUUAGUUCACAGACUCAAUAUCUUAUGAGAUGCAAACAUUAGACGCGCAACCUGUGAGGUGGAUUGCCUCGAGAUUUUGAAAACUUUGGCUGGGAAUAGGUACCAGUUUCAUGAGUUAUUAUUUUCAUAUUUUCUAGACCUCCGGAAACUCCUAGACUGUGAUUGGAGCAUUGGCCCGUGUCACACAUCUAGGGAUGCUAAUGAGGCAGUGGAUUGCCUCAUUGGUUUCGGGGCCAGGUUGCAAUAUCACCUCACCCGUCAUGAGGCUCCACCUUCUUAGUUUAUUCCUAUCUUUGCUAGAGAUUUGUUAGCUUGAGGUCUUUUAGUUGUUCUUUUACAUUUCCGAUGUAAAAAAUAAAGUAUACAAACUUUUAUAAUAUUAAUCAAUUUUUCAUCUAAUAAUGGUAUAUAAAAAAACUACCCCAUAUGCCUAGCAGCACUUACCUAUAAAAUGUGUCACGUUUAGCACGAUUAAGUUGAUCUCAAAUGAGGGAUCAGGGACGAGUGAGUUGUGUUAUAGCCAUUAUUUUUUUAAUCAAUUAUUGAAAUUAUAACUAAAUAUAUGCACAUUGCCUGUCAAAUAAAAAAAAUGCACAUUGCACAUGUGUCACAAAUUUUAAGAUAAUUAAAAUUCUGACAUAGUGGAUUUCGUUAUUAACAAUUAUAACACUACACUUUACUAUCUACCGGAUCCAAUGCAAUGGUAGAUAUACAUGUUUGUUUGUUUUUGUUUAAUGGCAUGUCGUCGUGUCAUCCAACAAUAUUAUUAAUCUUAAUCACUAUCCAUCUAUAAUAUACUGAUCAAUUUAGAGUAAUCUGAUCCCACCUGAUGUAAGAAUUACUGCUUAAAAAAAUUACAAACACCACGUGAAUUAGCCUCAAUUACUUGAUGCACUAACUGUGAGGUGAAAGAUUAAGAGAGAUACUUUAGCUAUGACAAAUAAAAAUAACAUCAAAGAAUGAAAUUAUUUGAGGUGCUUAUUUAAUACACACAACGUACUAUAUUAAAAGCAUUAUAGUGUUUUAUUUAUGAUUUAUGGAAUACUUAACUUAUUUAUGAGAGUGUCCUGCUGUCUCCCAAAUUUUCUUUUUUCUUUAUGAAAUCUAUAAAAAAAAAUUAUCAGAGAACUAGAGUUGGAUUUUUUUUGAGGAAUCGGAAUUUUAGAAUAGUGAAGUUUUGAGUAAAUUAAUCAAAUUAGUUGAAUAUAAUAUAUAUAUAUAUAUAUAUAUAUAUAUAAUAACCUGAUAGCCUAACUUAUAUGAAAAUAAGCUGACAUAUGCUAAUUAUAAGCUAUGAGAACUAAAACAAAUAGGGUUAAAAUAUAUAACCGUCCCUGAACUUUGAGCGAAAUCUGAAAACCGUCCCUCGCCGGAAAAUUAUCUGAAAUCCGUCCUCGUACUAUCAAAAACAAAUUUGACCCAUCCCUCCGGCCGCCUUAGCUCCGGCAAGAUCCAUUUUUUAUUUUUACCCAUCCCUGAACUUUGAGCGAAAUCUGAAAACCGUCAUUUUUUAUUUUUAUUUUUUAAUUAAAAUUCCCUAAUUUCUAAGAAUUAAAUCUAAUACCCUUUAAUCUAAGCCUGAAUUCCCAAUUUAACCACAAAUCCCUUAAUCUAAUCCUAACUCAUCCCGGUUUAACCACAAUUCCCAAGUUCUCUCUCCUUCAGACCUUGUUUCUCUUCUCUUCUUCUUUCUUCAUCUUAAUCUUCAUCUCAUUUCCUCCACCAACAACAACAUCGUCUUCUUCUCGUUGUUAGAAAAAAUUUGCAAUUUUAAUUCUUAGAAAUUCGGGAAUUUUCAGAUUUCACUAAAAGUUUAGAUUUCAAAUUAGGGAAUUUUCAAAUUAGGUAGAUUUAAUUCUUAGAAAUUAGGGAAUUUUAAUUUUAAAAAAUAAAAAUAAAAAAAUGGCUCUUGCCGGAGCUAAGGCGGCCGGAGGGAUUGGUCAAAUUUGUUUUUGAUAGUACGAGGACGGAUUUCAGAUAAUUUUCUGGCGAGGGACGGUUUUUAGAUUUCGUUCAAAAUUCAAGGACUGUUAUAUAUUUUAACCCAAACAAAUAUAUAACAAGAUUAGGAGUAAUUUGUAGCUAGGGACAAAAGUAGAUUAGGUCAGGCCUAAGUCAGGCGAUGUAGGUCAUUUUUUAAGUUUUAAAUUGACCUAUAGGCCUAAAUAUACUAAUAUAUAUAUAUAUAUAUAUAUAUAUAUAUAUAUAUAUAUGAGCUUAAAUAUUUAUACACAUUAAUAUGUUUAAGUCAAUAACUAAGUUAAUAAGAACAUAAUUUUAAGAUAUUAUUGUUCAAGCAAAUUCUCCAAAGCCAAACUCGCCCAGGAACAUUUAUAUCACGAAAUAUUGUUUUUUAUUCUCAAUACUCAGAAUUCAAAAUCUCUCAAGUAUAUCAUCUAAAUCAACCACCGGAGUUCAUUUAUACGUAAUUCAACUGCAACUACUCAACUUGUCUCUGCAUAUGAAGGGGAUAGUUUUUUUUUCCUUCAAUAGUAGUAGGAAGGAGACAAGUUAAUUAAAAAAAAUCCUUUAGAAAUGAAUCAUUUGUCUAAAUAUAUAGUUUGAUUAAAACUUCCUCAUACUUAUAUUAUGUUGACAGGUUAGAGGGGAAAAAACUCCCCAAAAGUUGUUAGUUUAUGAAUUAAGAUUAGAAUGUACUUUAAAACAAAUCCACAUUAGAUAUAGUAUUAUUUACUUUAGAGAUAAUUUUAAUUUAUAUCCACCAAAGUAAAACAAUUUUCAUGAAUCAUAUGCACUGAGUUUAAUUAUUUCUACAGCAAGUACAAUGGUAGAGGGUUGCAUUCUCAAUGGGCUUCUAUAGCUACAUCAUUUAUGGGCCUCAAGUUACUAUGCCAAUUAUAAUUAGUUAUUAUUAUUUCUAUGUUUAUUUCUAGUUUAUUAUUUAGAUCAUGUUCUAGAAUAUUCUAUUUUCUAUGAUGGUGCCACAUGUAAGGUCACCUUUCAUCCCUUAGAGUGGAUAGUUAGUAUAAGUUGUAUGAAUUCCAUUAUGAAAGAUCAACAAGAAAAUUGACAAAGUUUUAUCUUAUCUUCUUUUCUUAGUUUUCUUUUGAUUUUCUUCCUUUGAUUUUACUUGGUAGAGUUUCUCUCUACCAAUUUGGUGCUUUCAUUAUCUAUCUCUUUCCUCCAUUACAUCAUGGUGCUCAGCUAUGAUGUGUUAUCAACCAUCCUUGCAGCUCAACAUGAUCCCAGAUCCAUUUUCUACACCCACUCUUCACCUUCCUACCCCGCCAUUAAUGGUGGAUUUUCUGGGCACAUAUCUGCAGAUCCUUGGUUCAUGGACCAAGUAGCAUACCAGCAUACCUAACCACCAACAAUCCCACCACAACCACCACCUCUUUCGUACUACCAGAAUGGAUCUGCUGAACCUGUCCCUGUUUCACCUCAAUAUUCAUCCUACCCACAAAAUUACCUGCCCACUUUCCCACACCAUUCUUCUCCUCCCCAUCGAACUUACACACAACACCACAACCCAACCAGGCCCAAUCCAAAAUCUGCCCCAACAUUCACCCAGAAACAGAAUCCUACGUUCACAAUGUUCAGCGGAGAACACCCAGACUUAUGGCUCUUGAAUGUUGAGCUCUAUUUCAUGUUCCACCCAUACCCACUUGAAAUACGUUUUCACAUUAUUGCCAUGUAUUUAGAGGGGAAAGCUCUAACAUGGUUCAGAUUGUGGGAACACCAGCUGGAUUCAUGGGAUAAAUUCAGAGAAGUGUUCACAUUUCAGUUCGGAAACCCCAUAUCUGAACAUUGGGAGGAGUCAAGUGCGCCUGUUCUUGACAGCACAACAGUGGUUGUGUCUUCUGGCCAAUCGAAGCAUCAUUUUCCGCAGCCAUCUACAAACCUAACAGAAGCUGAAUUUGAUGAAUUUGAUGACGGUUCCAGCCACGAGGAGGACAACCUAUUGGAGAAUGCAGAACAGGUUCAGAAUCUAGAAGAUCCUAACCAUCUGGAUGAAUUAUGCUUUGAAGAUAUAUCAGAAGUUUUGUCUGAUGGUCUAUCAAUACAAAUUUCUACCCAGGAGUGUCCUCUAUCUGACAAGAUAAACAAUGGUAUUAUCAAUGAUCUGCACUGUGAAUCAAUUUUCUAUAAAACUGUCUUGGAUUUGAAGACUACACAGUACAUGUUUGAUAAAAUGGAUGCCAAGCAAAACUUUGAACACAAUGCUCACAAUUUUGAUAAUGUAUUUUUGACAUUGGCAAUUGCUCGUUCUGCAUUUCGUUCACAGUUUAUAGGCUCUGAAUCUGCACUAUCUGGCCUACAUGGAUUUGUUAUACAAUUGUUUGAUCCUGGAAUUCUUGUUGCAAGGUUUAUUUUCUCACUGGCUAAGCUUCAAAUACUUGGUUUAAUUCAGAAAUUGUUUGACCCUGGGAUUCCUUUGAUAACAUAUGGUUCUGUCUCUACCUGGCUUGAUUCUACUAUGUUGCCCCUGGACACGGGAGACUUUCCAUGUUCCCAUUCACACACACUUGAGUUAUUUUCAUCGGGUGCACUCACACAUAUUAACAGCAUCAGUGUCAUCUCCAGUGUUUCAAUUUUUGGGGAGUAUUUUUGUUCCUACUACAAAAAUGUUACACCAAUCAGGAUCAUCAACAACAUCUAUUAUAGAGGACAACAAACCUCAUGGAGUCUUAAGGCACGUUCAGCCAGCACACUAUCUACACUCUUUGCUGUCAUGUUCUCACAAGCCACCAUUGAUCAGUUUGGUCAUCGGUUUACCUCACCAGCACGACAAGAUAGGAUCAGUAACAGCAUAUUUAGUGCAUAUUAUAUAAUCCAAAGGAGAUUACUGUAUUAUGAGAAAAGUUUAUCCAUAUCUUUUCUUCCUGGACAUGUUCAAGGUCUUGGUGUUGCUCUUGUGGGACAACUUUAUCAACCAUCUGAGCUCCUUGACCACCAAUGCUAUUGUUGUCCUUCACCAACAGUCACCAACCUGAUCAGAAACAAUAUGCUACAUUUGAAUCUUUUUAUUUCUGGGAUAGAAGGAAGGGUUGCAUAUGUCAGGGUGGUUGAAGAGACAAGCAAGUUCGGCUUAAGGGAGUGGGAACUAGUUCAACAUUCACAAGAGGGUUAUUUUUUCUCUCAUGUUCAACUAACACAUACAAAGAUACAACUGGGAUGGAUGCUAUCUUGGGUCUUUCAAACAGCUGUUUAUGAGCUUCAGGCCAAGUGCUCGACUCCAAUGCAUCAGCCAAUGAGAUUCACCAUUGAGACGAGAGUUUUGCUAUUCACCAAAUCCAAAGAAGUCUCUCUUGCAGCUAUCAUAGACAAGGUCCCAUCCAAAGCUGCAUUGGAACACAUUUUGGGGCUCUUGGGGACUGCAACAGUAGCACAAUUAAUUGUUACUUCUGUGCUUCUUCAGGGACAUCCACAUCCACAAUGUGUAUCAUUUUCCCCACCAAUGGACAGACAAGCCUUGCAUAACACUGUGUUCACAAGGGGUCAAACGAAGCUUGCUCACCACACUCAACAUCCUUUCAAUUGGGUUUUGCUUAUAUUGGGCUGGACUUAUGAGACUCCCCUAUGGCCACCACUUGAAUUGUCUUUCCAACAAGGCUUAAUAGUGUGGCUAGGCUUCCCCAUCGGCCAUGGAAUUAAAUGGCGUGAACUUCUUGCUUCAUGGGACAGCACACAAGGCAUUUUUUUCUACUAGGAUGGGAAUUGUCGCUACACACCACAUCAAGUCACUCUAUUGGCCCUUCAUGCUACCUUGAGGCUUCCAUUAAAAAUGACAGUUUCUUAUUUUCAUGGACUUGACCUCAUUGACAGUACUCUCCUAGCAUGGAUCUUUCUUGUUGCAUGGCUAGCUCACUUUUCCAUCCUUGAGGACAAGGAUGUUUUCAAGGGAUGGUAAUGGUAGAGGGUUGCAUUCUCAAUGGGCUUCUAUAGCUACAUCAUUUAUGGGCCUCAAGUUACUAUGCCAAUUAUAAUUAGUUAUUAUUAUUUCUAUGUUUAUUUCUAGUUUAUUAUUUAGAUCAUGUUCUAGAAUAUUCUAUUUUCUAUGAUGGUGCCACAUGUAAGGUCACCUUUCAUCCCUUAGAGUGGAUAGUUAGUAUAAGUUGUAUGAAUUCCAUUAUGAAAGAUCAACAAGAAAAUUGACAAAGUUUUAUCUUAUCUUCUUUUCUUAGUUUUCUUUUGAUUUUCUUCCUUUGAUUUUACUUGGUAGAGUUUCUCUCUACCAUACAACAAUCAACAAACUUAUAAAUAGCAUGCGGCAAUAGCUAAUCAAUACUUAUUCUUCGACAAAUUAAACAUCAAUAAGUUUCAAAAAUUAUGAUAGUUGAAACAUCAAAACCUUGAAAUAAACUAACUAGCUUCUAUGCCCCUAUAACAUCAAGGGUUGAGAAUUACUAAUAUAAAAGGAAAUUCAGUUUUUUUCAAUGUAUUUAAUUGCUUCCGCAAUUUUGAGCACUAAGAUAUCUGUUUUAGCUAGAACAAUCAUAUGGCUAAGUUGAUUUACACAUACGUGAGAAAAUGAAAUUCAAUUAAAACUUAAAACAGUAACUAUAAAAUAUCUUUUCCGAAAAACAGUUCGUCAAUUCUUACCACACAUUACAAGAUAUCAAUUCUUUUCAUUUACUAAGUAUGUUAUGUGUUCCAAUCUUGUAGAUCAUGUAUGUAUUAAACACCUAUAACUUCAAAAUCUGAAGGCUUUUAGUUGGUCGAAACUAGUACUAUAGUAGUAGUAGUAACAAUCAAUGAUGAUACACCACACAAUAAUAUUGUUGAAAUCAGCAAGAACCGGUAGUUUGAUUAAGACGACACUGUCCGAGGAAGAAACGAUGUUCCGGAAAAUGAUACUAAGACAGAGGCAGGCUUAAAUUAAUGUAGGCAUUUGUCCCCCAUUUUUGUAGACAUUCAUUCAUUUUUUUUAUGUUCAAUAUUUUUAAAGCCCAACACUAGACCUCAGAAAUGAUCGAGGAAAAGAGACACCUUGGAUAUUUAUUUGUCAAAGGAAACUAAGAAAUUAGGACAAGAUUCCAAUAUAUGAUAUCUUAGUGGACUACAAAGACUCAAGUUGGCAAAGAAAAUCUAUGGGGCAUAUCAGGUGAGAUAAUUUUUUUAUUGUGAGAGAUGAGAGUAUCAAUUAUUGGGUGUUGGAUCAAAAUCAACGAUUCAGAUUAAAAAUUCCAUUCAGUCUCACAUGCCUCUCUUCAUCUAUUUACCGUCUUCGUAUGACACCCACAUCGUCCAGGAAAGCUGUGACCACCAUGACACCAUCUGCAUCUGUCCUCCACCUUCUCUUCAAAGAAUAGUUCAAAAUAUUUGAAAGAGAAGAUGAAUUAACUGUUUAAUCUUUUCCAAUUACACCCAAUAAAAUCAAAGUAAAAAAUCCCUAAACCAAACAACACAACCAUUAAUAAAUCAAGUUAAAUUAUCAUGUGGUUUCUUUUCGUUCCCAUUAGAGGGUGAUGCCUCCUCAACGUGAGUGGGUGGGAAGGAUUGAAACGGUGAUGGGUGACUAUCGAGCGCACAAGUUCGUUGUUGCUUGCGAAACAGCCAUGGCGUGCAGGAAGCUGGAAAUCGUAUGGGCAAGAGAAGGAGAAGAACCGGGAGACGCUACCUAACCAUCUUCUCGUGCGCGUGAGGUUUUGAGAGGGUUACCGGAAAGUGGAACGAUUGGGAAACAGGGUCACGUGACUCUUUUAAUUACAAAUUAAAUAUGAAAUCCUUCAAAUUAAUCUAAUGUUUGAGCUACAAAUAUUCACAUCAUUUUAGGGCUAUGUCUCUGUAAAAAAAAAUUUAUUCGCAAGACUCAAACUAACCUGAGACCAUUCAGAAGAAGAAUUAGGCAUGUGCCAUAUACCAACCACUAAUUGGUCAAAAUCUCAUAUUAUCUAACAGAAAUGGAGUAAUUUGUGAUUAAGACGAGGAUGCAUGCAUGAGUGGCCAUGCUAUUUACACCACAUUGACAGGUCUUUGCAAAUUAGACCCCUUCAUAACAUAUUAACAUAUCAGAAAAAAAAAGUAAAAUAGAAAAGAAAUAAAAGUAUUGAAUAAAAAACCAAAUUCACUUGAACAAAUCAAAUUCAGUAACAACAUAUCAGCUCUUCUAAUUUAAAAAUAUAAAAAUGAAUUCACUUUGAAGGGCUUUAGCUGCCUCUCUAGGCUCCUUCAACUUAGAAAGUGGGCAUGGGUUGGCGUGAGUGGUGGUGGAUGGGAAGAACCUCCCAAACUUCUCCUGGUGCGGUGAGGGGAGAGCACAUAGGAGAGAAAGAGGUGGUGGCCAAGGUUUUGAAAGAGGAAAGAUGGGAGAGGUUAGAGUUUUUUAUUCUUUGAUGAAUAUUUACAGGGGCUAAAACUAAUGCCAAAAUGUCCACGUGGGCGUCAGGUGACUAGGCUCACCCCACGAACGGUUGACUAGUCAAAAUUGAUACACAUCAUAAAUUGAAUUGAAAACAGCUUAAUUAAGCGCUUAUGACCAUAAGCGCUUAUUCAUAAGUUAUUUUAAAUUUUUUAUUGAAAUAAAUUAAAAAUAAAUUAUACAUAAGCAUAAGCUGUUUCUCAUAAGCUAUCAUGAAUAACUUAUGAAAAUAAGCUCAAAACAGUUUAUGGUAGGUCAUAAGCUGUUUGCAUAAGCUCUCCCAAACACUGACAUAAACGCUUAUGCUAUCAGAUAAGCUCUUUUAAACAGGGCCUUGUUCUAGUAUAUUUUAAGUUUUUUUUUUUGUUACAAGAGGAAAAUAAAAAUAGUAUAUUUUAAGCUGUUAACCAAAAACAUUUCGAUCUUUUUACGCAUAUUCUCAAAAGUUUAAUUAUGAGUCACACUUUAAAUAGGUUAUGGGGUUAGAUUAAACUUUCAAGAAGAUCAAUUCAAAAAAUGUGACAGAUAAAAAGUUAGAUUUAAGCCUGAAAAUUUUAAACAAGACAUACCUAUUUAUGCAAAAUUCAAUCAGAGCUAGCCAAUUUCCACCCUAGUUCUAAGGCUUUGAGAACUAGGUUAAUUUGUUUUAUUUUGCAAGUCAAGCAAGGCUAAUUUUUAUUUUUGGUAACACGGAGGGACAUGGCCCUGAAAGGCUAAAUUAUUUUGAUUAUUUUAACUUACGGUAGUUUGGGAGACGAGUUUUUGAAAAUACAAGCUAUGAACUGAAUAAAAUAGCAUAAAUAUAAUACACUAAUAAUUACUUUAUUAUCAUAAAUGUCAUAUACUUCUCUUAAUUUUAAAGUAAAAAGAUUUUCCGAUGAAUAAGAAAAAAGUAAAAAAAUGUUACUCCCUCCGUUACUAAUUAUAAGACUUAAUUUUAAAAUUUUCUAGUUCCUAAAUAUAAGACCUUUAACAAUAAUUUAGCAAAAAGUAUUCUACUCUUCCAUAUAUAACCUUUACAUUAAUGGUGUGUUUUCAAUUUCAAAGUUUUAAUUACCACCUACCAUUUAUUAGUGAGAGAAAAUAACAAAGGGUAAAUAUGGAAGAAUGUAUGCAUUUUUAAAAAACCAACACACUAAUUAGACACAUUUAAUGUUUUCUUAAUAAGCGCAAUUUUUUGUAUUAGGUCUUAUAAUUAGGAACUGAGAGGGAAUAUUCCCUUCCCUCCAAAUACCAUCUCCCAACUACCCCAUAGACUUGGGGCAAAAAUGAUGUAGAACAUGAUUACUCUUGGUCGGAACACUGCCAUUAAUUUCGUUCAUGAGUGUACCGACAAGAAAUGCUAUAGAUUCUACAACCCACACGGGACAACUGAAUAUUAUACAUAGCUUGUUACAUCUAUGAAUACAAUGAAGCUAGAUAAAACUGCCCAAAAAAAAACAUAUAUACAUUCAAAAUGAUUGGCAAGUCCUCGCCAAUAAAGCAAAAAGAAAUCUAGGUGGAGAUUUAGAAUGAAUCAAAACUAGAUACGUGGUAAAUCUAAAAAAUUACAACAAAAAUAGACCCCUAUGAUUCCCCCAAUGUGUACAAAUUUACUGUGUAACAUGACCUAAUACUACUAUCAAUAUCAUAGAGCCCAAGACAUGUCAAAUUAGAGUGCCUCUUGAGCAGAUAAGGAUAUUUAAUGAAGUGAAAAUGUCAACCAAGAAGCCCCAGUUCAGAGGCCAACCCACUUCACCCAUCUGAAAAUCCGACCAACUCCUAAGGGCAAUUCGUAGUCACUGGCAACAGCAGGCUCUCUUUUAGCAACCUCAGAUUCGGACCAAACGUAUACCCCACGUUCCUGCCGACCGCCAGGUACAGUAUUAUCCAGGAUAAAAGCAACAAGAAACGCUAUCACCAUGUGUAGUGAAAGAAGCGUGUUCAAGACAUAGUUCAACUGCAAAAGGAACAAAUUAACUAGUGUUCUUUCAGAAAAACAAGAAAUGUAGACAUCAUUCAAGGGCUUAAAUAACAAGGGAACCACAUAAUUAAAGCUAAUUCUGCAAAAAUAUUCAAGAUAUCCUAUACAUGCUAGUCAAAACUAUGCAGCAGCAGUAGGUCAUAUCCGACUACACUAGAAGUGGGGCAAUGAUGAAGUGGCCCUUUGUAAGUUACAUCACUAGCUAGCAGUGAGAUAUUAUGAUGCCGGCCCGGGAGCAGUAGAUAUUCCCAAUAUUACUAAAGUUUAGGAGAGACAAUGACUGAUAACAAAGUUAUAUGUAAAAGUAGGGACCAAAACUAUAAAAUUAGAUGUUAGGUACUAUAAUGAAAUCUGGCUGUAAAAUGAGGGAUUAAAACCUUAUUUAAGUCUAUUCAAUAAUAUAGUUUUGUCAGCAGAACUCACCCAAGAGAUGAAAGUGGCCUUUAUCCUUUCUAAACAACCUUAAAGUAGGUAACAAAUUGAUAGCAUUUUUUGACAUGAGCAAAUUCAAGCACAAGAUUCAUGAUAGUAAAUAAGACAUGACACAACGACCUACCCCUCCAUAUUUGCAGUGGAAAGGCCCGUGAGAAGCUACAAUGUAGGGCUGAAAGUAACUAGGCACAGACAAGUUGGAAUUUGGAGAGAUGUCGUAUUGUUGAAAGUAAGCAGGCACCGAAAGAGAGAAGAACAAUGAUAACCCAACUAUGAUGAUAUUGCGAGAGCUUCCAGCCUCACUGUAGCGUAGAUUUGACAAGCCCAAAGCUGUGAGCAUUGCCCACAUAAAGCAAAGGAGACCAGCAACCAUGACUUCAGGAAUUGAAGCAAUGAACCCUCCAACCUUACCUGUUGAAUGGCAUAAACAUAAUUAAACAUGGAUAAAUUUGCAAAUAUGUGUACAAUCACUGGGAAAGUAUCUCAGAAGCUCCAUACCACUUUUAUCACAGACACUGUGAUAGGUAACUGGGGUUAGCUUGUUAGUGGUUAAGUGGGGUCAGUAGUUUGUUAGUUAGUUAGAGGGUUAAGAGGCAUGUUUUCUAUAAAUAAGUGUGAUUAGAGAGCAUUAGGUUAUCUUGGUAUUCAGUUAGGAAUUGGGUUUAGAGAGAGAAGUGGUUCUCUUUCUAGGGUUAGAGAGGGUGUUUGGCAUCUCUCUCAUGUAUCUUUCCCCUAAUCCCCAAUUGGGAAUUAGGGUUCUAUCAAUAAACUACUGCUGAUUUUCUGAGUUCUAUCACACUGUUUUCCUUAGAAUUAGAAUUUAUGCAAUGCUAUUAACAAUACUGCUUUAGGGCAUUCUGAAUUAACAGAAAAAUUUAAGGCAAGAUCUUGGAAGAUAGAUCACUCUCAAUCAUUAGUUAUAAAAGGCUUAUACCCAGUAGUUUUUAAGUAGGUAGGUCAAAGUAGUGGAAAAUUUCUCCCACAAGCAUUCCUCCAGUAGUUCAUAGAAUUAAAUCAAAGGUCCAUAAACUGUGAUAAUUGUUUUCACAUUUUUCUAUUUGGUCAACAUCAUAUAAUGAAUAUUUCAAUCUACAUAAUUGCUCAUUUCCUUCCUAACAUUUUGUAAGUUUCGGGCUUAAAGACCAGAUUAUUCAGUAGCAUUAUUAGAGCACUGUUAAAUGCAAUAUAAAACUGCUAGAGUUUUAGUCUUGAAUCAUAUAUAGGUAAUAAGUACACGUGUUUUUCUAAAAUGCAGGUAUGGAGAUAGGUGCUCCUAACUAAAGUAACAUUCCUAAUGUAAUCCCUAAAUGGUAUCACAAUUGUGGUUAUAUAUGAAUCUCGAACAUUCUACAUUAGAUUUGACUUCCUCCCACGGUCUCUCAAGCUAAAUAUUCACAAUAACCUAAAAGAAUUUCACACUAGUAUAUAAUUUGACAUAUAUUCAAAUAUUUAGUACUAAGAAGACUUGGACCACAAAAACUAUAGCCCUUUGUUUUGGAAAUUAUUGAUCAAGUACAUAUUGCAGUAACCAUUUGUUUGGACAAGAACUGACAGGACUAAAAAUUAAGAACUCAGUUGAGUGUAACAAUAAAUGAAAUUAAUGAAGGAUUUGUUACUCAAUUACUUCCUCUCAUUCUUCAGGCAGCAUGAUUUCAAAAAAUUAUGCUUGCAAACGUAACAUGCUAAGCAAUAGGCCUAAUUGCCACAGACCAGCAACAUGAAAUUUUAAUGUCAUUGUGGAACCAAGGAAACCAAGAAAUUGCAUGAUAAAUAAUGCCACAAACUGCAAGAGCCCCUUAUGAGAAAUAUCAACAAUGCAUACAAUCCAAAUGGCUUUUCGGUUAUCAUCCCAAUAACUUGUUGCUCAUAUAGUAACUAGUAAGUGUAUUUCCAGUGAAGGUUAGAUCCAUCCAAGAACAAAGAGAUAAUAAAUACUUACCCACAAGAGACAACACUAUCAGAAAGCAUGCACCCAGUUGAACUGCCCUGCGGCUUCCCAUUUUAGUCACCGCAAUUGUGUGAACAUUUUCAGUUAAAGUUGUAGACCCAGUUCCAGUUCCCCAGAGACCAGCCAAGACACUAGAAAGACCUUCCAAACCAAUUCCUCGACUAAGAACUCCUGGAGUUGGAGGUCUGGAUGCUACCAAUAAUGAAGAUGCAUGGUAUGACCCAACCUACAAUGUUUUAAAAUGAAGUCACAAAUAGGCUUGGGUGAACAGCAUAUGCAAGUUCCUUAAUUCUGAAUCAAACCCAUCGGUUUUAUUAAACACAUUAUUUAUGUAGGCCCAAAUAGUAAUUUUCCAUCAAAGAACAUCGUACAAAGACGGCACAAGGACUCAGUAGUUAAUUAGUUUCUCUACAGUAACACAAGCAAGUUAAAUUAUCAGCAUACUAAGACCCAAGAUAAAUAAAUUACAACAACCAAAUAGAAAUGGAAUAAAACUAACCGAAUCCACAGAUGAGAUUAAGGAAACCACACACAUUACAAGAGACAUUUUCCAGUUGAAGAGAGGGGCACCCCAUUGUAGUGGAUAUGGAAAUCUAAACCAUGGAGAGGAUUUCAAUGCCUGACUAGUAUCCACCCGACAAUGGAUCAUCCUUGAAAAAUGCUUUCUGCAGUGCUCUGAAACCAUAUUGGAUGCAGGUACAUUUAUAUCACAUCCUUUGUGACUGUAUAUUCCUGCUUCAGUCAGCAAGAAAGCAAAUGCCCAUGUAAUUGCUAGACCCAAAGGAACCUGGCAGUUAGGUGAAGAAAACAGAAAACCAGUCAUUACACCAAUACAAAUUUUAUUGCACAACUGAAAACUUAGAAAGAUCAUAACAUUCAACUUACCGCAUAUACUAGAAAUAUGCGAUGUCCAAGAACCGAUAUCUUGCGAAGAUACUGUAGAAAAGCAAGAAAUAACAGAUUACAAGUUUUAGCACAGUGCAACAACCAAUCCAAUAUACACCCUGGACUUUCUAAAAAAAAUUAUAUAAAUGAAUAUUCAAAAAAUAGUAAUAAGGUCCAUGGAACAAACUUACAAGUGAAAAAACAAUGACCACUAAUAUCUGUACUGCACCGAUCUCAAUACAUGUACCCACUAAUGGAAAACCAUAACUGUAAAACGAAAGUCCAACUGCAGCAAUAGUCGGGGCUACAACAACUGGAUUGAUCAAUCUGAAGGAAAAACAUAAAAUGGGGUCAUUAUCAGGUAAAAACUGAACAGAAAAAGAUAUGAAAUGUGACCUUUUUAUAUCAGAAAAUCCUGGCACUUAUUUAAAUCAUGAGAGAAGGAAAAGGACAAAGUUCCACGUUGCACCCGAAAAAAAGGGGAGGGGAGUGAUAUAUAUGAGUGGGAAGGAACCAUGUGGAAUUAAAAUUCAAACAAGCUAUACGCAACCCUUUGAAACAUGGAGCAUUUCCAUGGAAGAAUGAUAAGUCUCUUAAUUAUAAAAACUAAAAUUAUGAGUACUCUAACCUAACUGUUGCGAUAUGUGUUUUGUUGUAUGAUAUCUUGAGAUAAUUCUAUUAGGAUUAUUAUCUACCGUUCUGUUAAGACAGUUCUCUUAGGAUUAUUACCCUUCUCUAUCUUUUUGUUAGUUUGCUGGCUUUAGUUUAACCAAGACCAGGAAAUCUUAUCUAUAGUAUCUCAUAUAUUUCCCCUAGAAUAAAGCAACGUCUUCCCUCUCUUUUGAUUUUCUUUAGAAUAAUGUAUCCAUCAUAAGAUGCCAAAUGAUGUUUAUAAUCCAUUAAAUAUAAUCAACAACUACAAAAAAAAUUGUGAAUAAUUUUUCCACUGUAAUAUUUUUGGUCAAGUUCCACCACUGCCUCAAUGAUUCUUUUGCUUUCAUUUCUCAACAUUUAACAUUACCCAUUGCCUCAAUCCUUAAAAUUUUAAAAUAAAUUAUGUUUGAUGGAAGAACGAAGCAUGUACAGUAAAAACUAUUGAUUUAAAAAAAAGAGUUGAAACCGGCUUAAAAGGACUUUAGACUAAUGGAACAAUUUAUUUCUUCUACUUUUUCUAUAUUGGAACACAUGAAAGAAAUUUUAACUACUUUCAACGUUUAUCCAAACAUACCCUCAAGAAUAAACAAGUAGAGAAAAUCUUAAAAUCAUACCUUACUAAAAGCGACAUAAGUCCAGAAUAUCCAAGUAAAGCUUGAAAAGCUGAUCCAAUAAUUAUAGCUCCCUGCAGCUCCUUCAUUAUAUGCCUGAAUUUCUGCAUAUUGAGGAAGAAAGCCUUAUCAGCUGUCUAGGUUUCACUUAUUCCAUCAGAAAAUUCAAAAUAACCACAUAUCACUCCAGACCAUUUGAGCAAUUCUUGCAUGAGCACUUAUGCACUAGGCGCAACCAAUCCAAAAACCCAAAAUGCACUAAAAUAAUACUCCCUCCAGUCCUUUUUAUAAGAAAAACUUGGACAAAAUCACACAAACCAAGGAAACUAAUAUUUUUUAUAAAAUUAACUACUAUGCUUAAUUUCAAUGAUGUUUUUUUCCUUUUUACAAGAACAAUCAUGCUAAUUACCAUAAAUGUUGAUCAUACCUAUUGGGUGCUUGCAAUUUCCCUCCAUAUUUUUGUAUUGGGAAUAAGUCCCUUUGCAUUGGUAUUGAUUAUUUGACUUAAUUUUAUAAGAGUGUUUCUUAUAAAAAGGACCAAGAAAAAUCUCCAAAGUGUUUCUUAUAAAAAGGACCGGAGGGAGUAAUAAAAAGCACAUCAAAUAUCAUGAAGUUAUUUUUAUAUUAUCUCGCACUUUUGAUUGGUUGUGCUUAAUUAGCACACUGCUCAAAUAAGAAAUCUUCGAAUAACUAAAUAGAAACUAUUAGAAUUUUGUUAGGUGCAACGGUAAGAGAUACAUACAUUUUCUUUUAAUGCUUGAAACUCAGGGGAGUUGAUAAUAGCCAGAGCCGGCGCCAAAUAAACGAAAGAAGGGCCUUGUAUUAAGGGCAACCUGGACCCAAAAUUUAUAUGCAAGAGUGUAGUCACCCCCGAGACAAAGAGCACGGUCGAUACCACCAUAGCAGUUUCCUCCUACAUUCACUAACACAUCAGAUAACAGCACUACCACAACAACUUCACCAUUACAAAAAAAAAAAAAAUCGAAAACCACUCACAUGAGUUCCUCCCAUGGCAGGAACAAUAACAAGUGGAAUGAGAAUCAACGAACCUAACAUCGAAACGUAAUGCUGCAUACCAUACACACCAAUGGGAACUACAAUAACCCACAUAAAAAUAACAAUAAAAACCAACAUCAAAAUUUCAACUAUAUGAAAAAAGGGGGAAAGUGAAACCACUUUAACUUGAAAUUCCAGAACAGUGAUACCUAAACCAGGUGAAUCUCUGAGCUCGUACUUCAUAUGCAAGUGCCUGGACGCAAACCCUUCAUCAUCCACCGUUAAACCUUCCACCAAUUCCUCAUGCCUCGCCGUCCUCCGCGGCUGCGACGGCUCCUCCACCACCGCCGCCGCCGGAGUUGCCUGGCCGUUGGUGCUGGGAACGCCGUCAGAAUCCCUCCGCUUCUUUACACUCUGGUCCUUAGCGGGAACCGGAACCUUUUGGCCCUGUGCGACUCCGUUUGGGGGCGGGCGAACCCGACCCAUUUCAAGAUCAGGGACGGGUUGGGAUUCUCUGGGCUUGGGCUGAGGUCCGGUUAUCUGGCCGGAAUGAGCGGCAUUGGUCUCACCGGAGAAUUUGGGCCUGAAGCCGGUUUUCUUGGCCCAGGAAGAAGGCGGCAUUGCCGGUGGUGAAGGACUCGGGCGGUGGCGGUUGUCGGACAUGACGGGAAGAAGCUACCGGCGCAUUGGUUGCAGAUCCGGUGAUGUGACAAUGCAGAAGGAGGAACGAAAGGGUUAGGGUUUUCCAGUGAAGGAAGAGAGAAAGUUGGGAGUGGAAUUCAACUUGUUCACCUGAGAAGCAAGUUGAGUUGGGUGUUGAGACUUGAGAGUGUGGAUGGAACUACAACAGAGUUAGUAGAUAUUUGUAUCUUUUUCUUCUUUGUGUUUCUUUUUUUGAGUCUUGGUCUUUCCGUGGACAAAAGGUGGAGCUGAAAAAUGAUUCAUGCAUUUGGAUUGAGAACAUGAAAUUAUACUUUAGUCUUUGAGAGCAGGAAAAGAAAUAAAGAUCGGAGAACUUGCGGUGGCCCGGUCAAGGGUUGGGUCAUAGGACUUAGUAACUCUACGAUGACACUCCGACGCUCAAGUUAGAAUGUGGUUUAAAAGAUUCAGAAAUGAGAUCAAUAAUGUGAACUUAACUCUAUGCCUUGACUUUUAUAGAGUUUGAAAUAGUGCGGUUUGAGGCGGUCAUGAGUGUUUAGAACAUCCUCGAGCUCUGUGCCUUUAUCUUGGUUGAUGGUCCAUAAUUACUUAGCUAUGUGAACUAAUCUUUUUUAAGGAUUGAAACAUUUUGGGAUUGUUUGGUUGGAGGAGAAAGGAGGGGAGGGGAGGGAUUUUUAAAAUCUGAUUUUGUUUGGUUCAAACUUUAGGAGGGGAGGGGAGGGAAAUGGAGGGGAGCAAAAUCCCUCCCACCUUAGUUUUUUGUUCCCCUCAAAAGUGGGGAAAUUAGGAGGGGAAAUAAAAUUCGGAUAAAAAUAACCCUGCACGAAUUUAAAAAUUCCAAUUUUUUAUCCUAUGGUUUCCUUUCUUUUAUCCAACAGCCGCUGCCCCCCUCUCUGGUCUCUCUCCUCCGCCGCUGCUGCCCCCUCUCUGGUCUCUCUCUCAGCUGUCGUCGUCGCCUCCUUCUCAGAGCUUGCAAUGACGGUUUUUGUGCUUCAAGGGUGACUAUCGUCUGGUUUGGGUUGUGAACUUGGCUGGUUUUCUUUCCCUCUUGUGCCUUGUUUAUCCCCUGUUUUCUCGUCCCUGUUUUGUCUUGUUUUCUUAAUUCUGUACCUUUUUGUGUUUUGCUUGUUUUUUCGUUUUUUCUAUGUUCCCUCUGGGAGGUACUGUUACUUGAUGAUACAAUUUUUUUCCUAACGUUAAUGAUAUAGAAAUAGAAACGAUAAAUAUAAUACAUUUUUUGAAUGUGAAACUCAUUGGAAUAAAAAAUUAUUAGCGAUUAAUAUAAUACAUUUUUUAAUACAUUUUUUGAGAGGACAAUUUAAAGAGAUAUAAUAUUGUUUGUUUUUUUUACGGUAAGAUACAAUUAUUGUUAUUUUAUAAUUGUUAUGUUUUUUAUGUGAUUUUUUCUCACAUCAGCAGAUUUUAUAAAAAAUUAAAUAAUUAGUUAAUACAAAAAGGGUGUAAAAGUAAUUUACUUAGAAAAUUUCUCCUUUUUUAAUAAGUAAACAAUCAUUUUCCCUCCCCUCCCUUCCUUGAACCAAACAAGAUAGCUAAUUAAAACUCCUCCCCUCCCUUCCCCUCCCCUCCCCUCCCCUCCUAAAAUCUCUUCCCUCCCCUCCCCUCCUUUAAACCAAACAGUAGCUUUGUCUCUAUUUGAUGCGAGCUUCCUUGCUCCACCAAUCUUGUGUCCAUUCGGUAGAGGACAAGAAGUGCGACACUAAAUGAGGCCAAAAGAUUUCAUUUAUCAUCCACUGAGACAAUCUUAUUCAGUCAGGUGUGACAUUUAUAGACAACAAAACUCUCGAUAUCAAGUAUUUAACACAAAUGCAUUCAUGUAUGCUCGAACACAAGACUUCUAUUAAUUUAGAACAACCACGUCAAUGUUAGAAGCUUAGCGGCAUAGAAACUUGGAACCUUAUAUGUGACAUGACAAUGUCAAGUGAAUAUCCGGUCCUAUCCGGCCAGAUUAACUAUCACACAGAAAAAUUAGUUAUCUUUUAUUUUUGGUUGUUCUCCCAGCACGUGUCUUCACCUUGGCAUCUCCCUCCAACUUAAGUACAAUCAGAGAGAUAUGGAAGCAGAGGCAACCAACCAACCAUAUAACACUAACAAAAAAAAAAACAGCAAGUCAUAAACAGUGACAGCAUGGUUCUGGUCUUACAACCUUGUUCUUCUUCCGUCAGCGUCCUCCACCAUGAUCACCACCACCACCACCACCACCACCACCCCACCCGCAACGCCGUCGUUCGAUGCAGCCUGCAGGAGAUAACAGAGGAGCUAAGUAGCUCGAACCUCAUCCAUUUCCCUCCACUGAAAACGGCGAAGAGGGUGGUGCUGGUGAGGCACGGCCAGAGCACGUGGAAUGCCGAGGGGAGGAUACAAGGAAGUUCCGAUUUCUCCGUUCUCACCAAGAAAGGAGAGUCUCAGGCUGAAACUUCACGCCAAAUGCUCUUCGAUGAUAACUUCGAUGUCUGCUUCUCCAGGUUAGUUCUAUCUUCUCUGAAACCUUGAAUCAUCUUCCUUUGCUUUUUCUACUUUCUGUGACGAUUGGGAUUUUCUGCUGUUUUUUUGUUCAUUUCCUGCACAAAAGUCCUCUGGCACGGUCUAAGAGAACAGCUGAAAUCAUAUGGGGACCUCGCCCUGUACCAAUCAUCCCCGAAUUCGAGUUGCGGGAAAUCGAUUUGUACUCCUUUCAGGUAAUGCUUUUAUUGCUUUAGCUUUGUGAAUUUGGUUACUCUCUUAUAACACUCAUUUGUGAUCAAAUACACUAGGAUUGAGCUCAUGUGAAUAUAAUGUGUAAGAAAAUUAAUUGCUUAGAUUUUAACUUUAGAAGUUUCUGUUCCUGUUGAAGCUGUUUUAUAUUACAGAUUCAAUAAUUGAUUUUUCAACAAAUGGUUAUUCUUGCAAUUUAUCCUCUAAAUUAGGCUUUCCCAUUAGCUGGGUUUGGCUAUAUGAAUACAAUGAUGAGCACACAUAUAUACCAUUUAUCUUUUUAGUAUUUUUCUGUAACUCUCUAUCCCUAGCUCAGAGUUUCAAGUUGCGGACAAAUGUGGCCGCAAUUGCAGUCACAAUGCCGAUGAGGGGGCCUAAGAUGCUCUGCGUUGUGGCUGCAAUUGCAAUUGCGAGCUGCAAUUUAAAACCCUGCCCUGGUUAUUGUGCUAUCUUCUUUCGGAUUAACUCUCAUUAGCAGCUAUUGGUCUAUACUAUAUAAUAAAUUACCAAGUUAUUAGUAAAAUGUAUUCUCUUGAUCUUUUAAUUAGCAUUAUAACUUUAUUAAUUACAUGUUGAGAACUUGAAUCUGAUUGAUUAAAUUAAUCCUUGAGGAGCUAAAUUGAUUAUAUUAUCUUAAUAUCUUGUUUAUGGAUUAUUUGUGCUUUGGUGUGACAGAACUUGUUGUUCUUGUUGCUGGAUUUUAGGGUCUACUGAAGCAUGAGGGACAAGAGAGAUAUGGUCCUGCUUUUCGUCAAUGGCAGGUGGAUGCCUCAAAUUUCAUCAUUGAUGGUCAUUAUCCAGUGAGAGAGUUGUGGGAGCGUGCUCGAAGCUCCUGGACUAAAAUCCUAGCUCAUGAUAGCAGGUCUGUUCUUGUGGUUGCUCACAAUGCUGUUAAUCAGGCUCUUGUUGCCACAGCAAUUGGUACCGGUUUCUCUCUCUAAGGAAAUUUAGAUGAUGAAAAAGGCUGAAAUUUUGUGAAUUUGAAUAAUGUGCUCAUAUUUUCUUCCAUUGAAAAUGAUCAGGUUUGGGAUCAGAGUAUUUCAGAGUUUUACUUCAGAGCAAUUGUGGUGUAAGUGUGCUGGAUUUCAACCCAAGACCCGAGGGUGGACCUCCACAUAUUUGCCUUAACCGCUUAAAUCAGGUAUAUAGUACCUUAACUUGGUGCAACGCAACAAAGCUGACUAUCUGAAUCUGGAUGUCGGAGGCUUUGUUAUUCCUGUGACAAAGCUUCAGAUUAUAAGCUGAUGUGACAUUCCGCACUUUUAUAUUGUGUUAUUCCCUCUUUGUAAAACAUAUUAUUUAACAUUUUUCACAACGAGCAAUGUGCUCAACAGUUCAGGCUGUCCUUUACAUAAAAUUGAACUAUUAUUGCAGACACCUGGUUCACCUGUUGCUGGUGGAAAAUCUGGAGGUAGAGAGUCAAGUAAGCGGAUCGUACUGGUUUGUAAUGGAUCUACACAAGGAAAUACAGAGGUAUGGAGCAAUAAUUAGAAUGUAAUUGAACAGAUAUAACUGGUCGAAGGAUCAUCAGCAAACAUUAUAAUACCUGAGUUUAUUGUCUAUUGCAUUUCUGCAGCUUAUAUGCAAAAGGAUACUAUGUCUCUCGUAAGCCAUUUCUGUAGAAAAUUCUAGUCUGAGUAAUGAACUCUUGCAUUCGUGCUAGUAUAAGAUAAUAGACCCAUAUACUCCCUACCUUAAAGUUUUGUAUCAAGAUGUUAAGUUUCUUAUUGCAGUCUCAUUAUUUUUCUUUUGGUCAAAAUUGCUGUGUUAUUUGUAGAUCAGUAAUAUAGAUCUUCCUACUUUUCGGACCUUAGACCCCGACAAAUGGUAUCAAAGCUGAUGAUUUGGCUGUCAAAUAAAUGGAAACAUAUAUUAGUGUAGUUUUCACCUUCAACCGAUGUUGUAAAAACAUUAGACAACACUUGGGCCUGUCUCUUGAUUGAUAACCUUGUUUUCUUAUAGAGGUUUCCCUAGCCUUGUGAGAAAUCAAGUCACACAUUGAUUUGGAAGGAAUGAUGGCCCAGUAAUUAGAUCUUCCUGGUUCGGUGAUCUCCUAAACCCCCAGUGAUUUCUUUCCUAAUACUAGUAUCAGAAUACGUUCCUAGAGACCUCAAGCAAUAGUAGUUUUCUAAUAACUCUUUCUAACAUCCAUUGCAAAGCGUAAAAUGCAUUUUUUAUUACAAUGGGAAGUAUGUUUGAAAGUGAUCAGAGAAAUAGAACUGUAAAUUUAUGGAAGUGACUGUCACUAUGGAAGUAUGGAUUUUUACUAAAACAUUGUUAAUAUGGCAGGGAUUCUUAAGUUGUGUUUCCCUGUUUCUACUUUUUUCUUAUUUUAUCAAAAUCAUUAAUGCUCUUAAAUUUGCACUGGGAUGGACUAUUUUAGAUAUAAAACCAUUCGUGUUCUUUCAAUCUAUAGUUUAAGCUUUUAAGAUAGUUGAUUUAAGAUAUGGUAUCAAAGCUGCUAUGAUCAUGCAGUUCCAUGUUAACCCCACUCUUCUGAGUAUAUUUAAAUUUCAACAUAAGGUAGGGUGGCCCUAUGCAUUAUCUUGUGUGAGGGGGCAUGUUAGAUAUAAAACCACUCAUAUGCUUUAACCCAACAAAUUAAGCUUUUUGGAUAGUUGGUUUAUGACAAAAGGCUCCUUUAAGUUCUAUUCCAAAUUCAUUUCUUUUUGUCAGGUUUCUAAACAAACUACCUUCUGUUGACAGAAUGGUUUUCCUUUUGCUGCUGAUCAACCGAUGAACAUGCUUGGUGUUAUACAGGUAGUUCAUCCAGUUAUCACAAAUAGUGAGGCAAAGUUAUUUCAUCUGACCUUUUGCAUGUGUAACAGUCCCAGAAAUCUGCAGAGCUACUUCUUGACUUGAAUGUGAAUUCCAUAAUCAGUAGUCCUAACAAAGCUUCUGUUGAGACAGCCACGGCCAUCUCCAAGGUAAGCUCACUUUUGGUACUUGUUAGUUCCAUCAUGCUAAACACUUAGUUCUAUAAUGCAAAUUCCUAUAUCCAAUCUAUUAACACCAAGUCUUUGCAUCUACUUACCAAUAGGUUCUGCUUUUGAUACACAUGUUGAGGUGCAUUCCUUUCUAUUUCUGUUCAUUGUUGUUCUACUCUAAUGAAACCUUAGACAUGAUUUUAGGUACAAGAAGCUGCUGAUUGCUUAGGUGCUGACUGUGUGCCACGCUAUGUUGAGACAAAGCAGAUGGAGAACCUUGAUGUUGAAACGAUCUUUAAACAAUCCAAAUCGGCAAGUAACUUAUACAGUAGAUGUGCUUGUAUGUGAAAGCAUGACCGGUCAUUGAUAGACUAUUUGAUUUUAGGAAUGAGUACUUCUAGUUGAUGGUAUAUUUCACACACUGGGAUGAUCUUGACAGAGCAAUGACCAUAAGAAUUUAUCAAAUACCUAUUGAAGAUAUAGAUAAAAAGCUUAAGCAGUAUUGGAAUGUGGAAAAUAAUUGUGACCAUCUCAAUGUACUAAGAAGUAUGUAAACUAGGAAAAGGUUUUAGUAAGUGUUUGUCACCAAACACUACUUUUGGUCCUUAUAGUUGUCUCUAGCUUUGAUCUCUGUCUUUCUAGUAUUCCUAAACAAAAGAUUUGAUUGACGAUUUAUGUGUGAAUAUCAGUGUGUUCUGUCUAAUUUUUUCUGUAUUUAUUGCAGGUUGUAUCCAAUUUUCCACCAUUUCAGCCUGGGUGGUUAAAUAGAGUUGAGGAUGGAUUUAGAACAGCAUUAUGGGACCAAUCUGGAAAAGCCUGGGAAUCCCUGUUGGGUGAAAUACGUGAUGAGUCUAUGUCAGGAGAUGUUGUAGUUGCAGUUGGUCAUCCUAUGAUCCACAUAGCAGUAAUGACACACUGUCUUAAUUUGACCAAAGACUGGUUGGGAUCGUUCCAUCUUGAUGCUGGGAGCGUGAGUGUCAUUGACUUCCCUGAUGGACCUAAGGGAAGAGGUGUCAUCAGGUGCAUAAAUUAUACUGCACACUUGGGGAGAUGGUCCAUCCCUAUUACAAGACCAACAGAGGAUGUUGAAGAAUUCUAACUGUAAAUUUAUUAUUUUAAAAGUAACUUAAAAUGACACCCAGCACCAAAUUUAUAGAGCUACAGAGGUUCAACAUGAUCAUGGCUGUUAAAAUUUUAGGGCAUGAAAGUAGAAAUGAAAUCUUAGUCAGGGGAUAUGAUGUGACCUUAGGGUGAUGGGAAUGAGUCAGAUUAAUUCGUGCAUAAACUGGUUAUUCUACCCAUUUGAAAGGUGUACACCACGAGGCAUUGGAAACAACUAGAGUAACUUCUGGAUAGCAGUUCUUUGUAGAAGCUACUCUUGCUAUUUCCUUUGCCUCCUGGUGUAAAAUCCUUAUGUUCCUUCACCCUUGGUCUUCCUUUCAACUGAAUUAUUUUCUCAUAACAAACGAGGCAUAAGUUUCUAUUAAUAAGAAAUGGAUCUUCACCAAGCUUGCAAUAGGCAGUACAAAGUCCCAUCUAAAGAUGAUGUUUCUUAAUUGUCUUUCAAACAAAGAUUCAUCAGUUAUUCAGAUUUAGUAGCCCAUUGCAGUUCUUCACUCAUUUUUUCUUUUAGGAAAGUGACUUGUAAGACUAAUCAAGAAGCUAUGGCAGUGUUUUCCAUCAAAUGAUUUCUCAAGGUUCGAAUUUGUAUUCUCAUCCUUAGCUUACUUACUAUGGACACCUUGUUGGUAUAUACAUGCUAAAGUAGAUGAUAUGUCAUUAUAAUUUUGAUUAUUAAUAAUUAUACUAAGAUUUUGAUUGGAUUAGCUUUUAGACUAUGAAAGCUUCUCUAACUUAUAAAAGAAUACUUAGUAGUUAAUAAAAGAAUUGAUUAAAGAACUUUGGUGGAAAAUUGAGAUGUAGUAGUUUUUUUGGUACAUUUUAAUUGAUACACUAAAUUAUUAUUAGAAAAUUCAGAGUCAUUGCAGUAUAAUUUUUGUAAAUACUUGUUAAAAAAAUUAUCCAAAUUCAUCAUAAUAAGAAUAUGAAAUUAAACUUAAGAGUGCCUACAAAAGCCACCACUCCAAUUGGAUGAGCAGGGAAUUUCUAAAGUACAAAUAAAAAGAAGGAAGUUUUAGUAGAGGGUUUUCGUCCAUUGACUUCGUGUCUAUGGUUUUUAUAUUACUAUCAUUUUUCUAUCCUCUAUUUGUACCUUGAACUAUUUUAGCAAAAGAAAGGCAAGGGCCAAAUGAGGUGGUUGUAGGAUCAUGACACCAACUGUGACAACUGCUUAAUUUCUUGUCAUGAUUACCAAUCGCUAGUUACCAUAAAAAAAUAUAAAUAAAGCCUAUUGUUUGCAUAUGCAAACAAAUGUGCUAUGAAAUUUAAUUUUUUUUUAAAAAGUCACUGUUCUGACUCUCUUCAUUAGUUUACAACUCAUUUGGUAUUAUUGAUUUGAUAUCCAUUUAUCAGUUUUUCUCCCAAUUCUUCUAACAAAUCAUAGCUAGGACCCAAAUCAUGUUGGAAAUAUCCUUCUGGCAAACUUCUAGCUUAAGAAAAUGCUUAACAGUUAGCAUUACCACUUGAAGCAGAAAAAUUAAAGUUUGCUUCUUUCUGUGAGACAUCAUAUAUAAAUAAAUUAACAAAUAUUAAGUAAGGUAUGGAUAUAUCUACUAGCAGGGUUAGUUUUUUUUUAAAAGGGUAUCACAGCUGAUAAGACUAAUCACUUCGAGAUUAAAUGAUCACAUUAGGUGGUUAGAUCAUUCUUUAUACACAUCAACUAAAUAUCAAACCCGAGUCUAAAUCGUUAAAUAACUCCCAAUAUUCCUAAUAAUAGCUACGUACCACCUUGCAUCUUCUUCAAGUUUUUAUAUAACAUAAAGUUUCAAUACCCUAAAAUAGAAUUUAUUUUGUUGAUUAAAAAAUGUAAGGAAGAUUUUAGAACUUUUUAUAGUUAAAUCAACUGUAAGUUGGAAUCUUUGGGCACUUGACAGUUGUUUGAUACCUGGAACUGAAACUCACUACCCCAUAAAAUAAAGGAAGAGGCACUACUAUAGAAUUGGCCUUUUGCCACGCCUCAAUUGCCAUGGUUAUAGGCGGAACCGUGGCAAAAGGUCAGUUACCACGGUUAAACAUGGAACCGUGGCUAAAAGAGAUAAUAUUUUAUUAUAUUUUUAGUGCAACCGUGACAAUAGGAAUUUUGAUAGGGAAACACCACAAUCUGGCUCGUACUCUUCAAUUUUUUUCCCUCCCACACACUCCAAAUUUUUUCUGAGGAACCCUAACCCUCAUCUAUUUCCUCUCUUCCUCUCCAUCUCGUUCUCACUCCAAGUAGCUAGUCCUCUUCUCCCUCUCGCUUCGCCGUUCGCCGCUCGCCGCCACGCCGUCACGCCAUCUCCGUUCCGUCACGCCGUCUCCGUUCCGCCACGCUCAGUUCCAUUCAAGCUCUCGGGUGAGUUCCCACUCCAAUUUUUUUACUAUUUUUCUUCCUCCUGGCUCUACUCACUGGCUCUACUCAUCUCGUUCUCAGUUCUCACUCCAAUUUGUCCGUGAGCCGUGACAAUUUACUCUGUCUGUUUUGUUGGUACCGAUUGAGUUCUUUGUCUUGCUGACUCUGUCUUUCGUUUUUCUAAUCUUCCCUUGUUUAGCUUUACUUGUAUAGGUUCUUUAUUAUUUUCUUGCUUUUGUUCCUUUCUCAAUGAUUUGUGGCUGCUUUUACCUGAGUGCCUUGCAUCCUGAGUCAACACUCAUUGUUUUUACUUUUCGCAUACAAUUUUGACUACAUUGUUGGUGGGUUGUUUCUGAGUGGAAGUAGUGGCUAGUUGCGUGAUGUCACUACUAUGAGCACUUGUUCCCCAGGGGUUUGAACUUUGAAUCGUCACUUGCCUGUAAAAGUGAUUCCGUAAGCAAGAAGGGUUUCGAAGAUAAUGGACAAAAUUUCUAUGUUGGAAUGCUGUGACAUGAUGUGGUGAUGAAUUUCUAGUCUGAUAGAUGCGUCAGAGAGAGGGAGGGUAGAGGGAUAGAGAAUCAAUAGAACUAGUUAGUGCUUUGUUACGUUUCUAACUUGUACAUAGUAGAUAAAUCAUCCUUCGUGAGAAGGCAAUUUUGUGGUUCAGCAAGUAAACUUGAUGGGAUUGUUUAUGAGAUGGAGGCUACUUUUUCCAUUUUGUAUCUAUCAUGGAGGCACUUAACCGUAAUCAACCAAGUAAAGAGUACAAUGAAGUAUCGUCUGGAAAUCAAACUGUGUUUUGGGUAAUAAUUGUGCUUGAAAAGACACAUUCAGCUAAGAGCCCGGAAAUUCUCAUGAUUUUGAAUAACAAUUUUAUCAGUAUAGGAAGAGAUGAAGCUGAAGCCUUCAAGGUAGAGAGUACAAUGAAGAGUGCCUUUUGCGGGAGUGGGGCUGUUAAAUAACCUCACCCAGUCCCCAUUGGCUUAGUAUGAUUAGAAAAUGAUGUUCAUUUCAUUUGAAUUGUAUAAAUGAUUUUUUGGUAAAUUAUACUAUCUCUUUGUGACCUUUUUAUCUCAAAAAAAGUUUAAACUUAUGACCUGAUUUAUAACCAGUUUUUCUUUUCUUAG